RNAcentral lists this ribosomal RNA (279 nucleotides) under uncultured bacterium. Its description in RNAcentral is "partial 16S ribosomal RNA". It matches the Rfam family "Bacterial small subunit ribosomal RNA", at positions 506 to 784 of the family's 1533-position model. The record is from RNAcentral.
UGCCAGCAGCCGCGGUAAUACAGAGGGUGCAAGCGUUAAUCGGAAUUACUGGGCGUAAAGCGCGCGUAGGCGGUUAGAUAAGUCAGAUGUGAAAGCCCCGGGCCUAGCCUGGGAACUGCAUUUGAUACUGGAAGUCUAGAGUAUGGUAGAGGGAAGUGGAAUUUCCGGUGUAGCGGUGAAAUGCAUAGAUAUCGGAAGGAACACCAGUGGCGAAGGCGGCUUCCUGGACUAAUACUGACACUGAGGUGCGAAAGCGUGGGUAGCAAACAGGAUUAGAUA